RNAcentral lists this ribosomal RNA (497 nucleotides) under uncultured bacterium. Its description in RNAcentral is "partial 16S ribosomal RNA". It matches the Rfam family "Bacterial small subunit ribosomal RNA", at positions 28 to 507 of the family's 1533-position model. The record is from RNAcentral.
GAUGAACGCUGGCGGCGUGCCUAAUACAUGCAAGUCGAGCGAACGGACGAGAAGCUUGCUUCUCUGAUGUUAGCGGCGGACGGGUGAGUAACACGUGGAUAACCUACCUAUAAGACUGGGAUAACUUCGGGAAACCGGAGCUAAUACCGGAUAAUAUUUUGAACCGCAUGGUUCAAAAGUAAAAGACGGUCUUGCUGUCACUUAUAGAUGGAUCCGCGCUGCAUUAGCUAGUUGGUAAGGUAACGGCUUACCAAGGCAACGAUGCAUAGCCGACCUGAGAGGGUGAUCGGCCACACUGGAACUGAGACACGGUCCAGACUCCUACGGGAGGCGGCAGUAGGGAAUCUUCCGCAAUGGGCGAAAGCCUGACGGAGCAACGCCGCGUGAGUGAUGAAGGUCUUCGGAUCGUAAAACUCUGUUAUUAGGGAAGAACAUAUGUGUAAGUAACUGUGCACAUCUUGACGGUACCUAAUCAGAAAGCCACGGCUAACUACGUG